AGCGAACGCUGGCGGCGUGCCUAACACAUGCAAGUCGAACGUGAAAGGGAGCAAUCCCCUGUACAGUGGCGUACGGGUGAGUAACACGUAGGUAAUCUACCCCAGACUCUGGAAUAACCGGCCGAAAGGCUGGCCAAUACUGAAUAGAGCGACGUAAUCCGUAAUUGGGUUUUUCGGGAAAGGGAGCCUGUAUACAGGCCUUCGUUCUGGGAUGAGCCUGCGUCCCAUCAGUUAGUUGGUGAGGGAAAAGCUUACCAAGGGAAAGACUGGUAGCUGGUCUGGGGAGACUGACAGCCAAACUGGGAACGAAACAAGGGCCAAGCCCCUAAGGGGAGGAGCAAGGGGGAAAUCUGCGGAAUAGACGGAAGUCUGGCGGAGCAACGCCGGGUGGGGGAAGAAAGCUCUCGGGUUGGAAAGCUCUGGCGAGUGGGACGAAAAUGCUGUGAGUUCACAGAUGCAGGAACUGACGGUACCACUAAAGAAAGCACCGGCUAACUCCGUG
Molecule: ribosomal RNA, 502 nt
Filed under: uncultured bacterium
Lineage: Bacteria
Description: partial 16S ribosomal RNA
Rfam family: Bacterial small subunit ribosomal RNA
Source: RNAcentral